CAGUGUAGCUUAAUGGUAGGGUGCAUGCCUAGCAUGCAUGAGGCCCUAGGUUCAAUCUCUAGUACUG
Molecule: transfer RNA, 67 nt
Filed under: Fukomys damarensis (Damara mole-rat)
Lineage: Eukaryota; Metazoa; Chordata; Mammalia; Rodentia; Bathyergidae
Rfam family: tRNA
About the family: Transfer RNA (tRNA) molecules are approximately 80 nucleotides in length. Their secondary structure includes four short double-helical elements and three loops (D, anti-codon, and T loops).
Source: Rfam by way of RNAcentral